UACGUAGGUGGCAAGCGUUGUCCGGAAUUAUUGGGCGUAAAGCGCGCGCAGGCGGUCCUUUAAGUCUGAUGUGAAAGCCCACGGCUCAACCGUGGAGGGUCAUUGGAAACUGGGGGACUUGAGUACAGAAGAGAAGAGUGGAAUUCCACGUGUAGCGGUGAAAUGCGUAGAGAUGUGGAGGAACAUCAGUGGCGAAGGCGACUCUUUGGUCUGUAACUGACGCUGAGGCGCGAAAGCGUGGGGAGCAAACAGG
Molecule: ribosomal RNA, 253 nt
Filed under: uncultured bacterium
Lineage: Bacteria
Description: partial 16S ribosomal RNA
Rfam family: Bacterial small subunit ribosomal RNA
Source: RNAcentral